Molecule: ribosomal RNA, 473 nt
Filed under: uncultured bacterium
Lineage: Bacteria
Description: partial 16S ribosomal RNA
Rfam family: Bacterial small subunit ribosomal RNA (bases 15-341)
Source: RNAcentral
AACGAACGCUGGCGGCAUGCCUAACACAUGCAAGUCGAACGAGACCUUCGGGUCUAGUGGCGCACGGGUGCGUAACGCGUGGGAACCUGCCCUUAGGUUCGGAAUAACUCCCCGAAAGGGGUGCUAAUACCGGAUAAUGUCUUCGGACCAAAGAUUUAUCGCCUUUGGAUGGGCCCGCGUUGGAUUAGCUAGUUGGUAGGGUAAAAGCCUACCAAGGCGACGAUCCAUAGCUGGUCUGAGAGGAUGAUCAGCCACACUGGGACUGAGACACGGCCCAGACACCGAGGGGAGCCAGAGGGGGAGAGAAGUGGACAUGGGGAGAAAACCGAAUGAAGCAAGGCGGAGUAGGGGAGGAAGCGCUGAGGGUUGAACAGCUCUUGCCGCGGGGAUGAUAACGGAAUUAGGGGGGUAAAAAGCUCCUGCCACCCCUGGCCAAGCAACCGGGGUAAAGGUUCGAAGAGCCACCUCCGACC